This is a long non-coding RNA of Mus musculus (house mouse), 1291 nucleotides long. RefSeq annotates it as predicted gene, 41366. The record is from RefSeq and is a predicted model, not a curated record. Lineage: Eukaryota; Metazoa; Chordata; Mammalia; Rodentia; Muridae. The transcript is spliced from 3 exons.
AGGGUCAGAGGGCAACUUUCAAGAGUUACAUCUCUCUUCCCAGCAGCUGGGCGCCGUGGAUCAAACUCAGGUCAUUAGGCCACUAAUCGAUCCCAGCAGUCCAUAAAUAAGUGGAUUUUGGAGAAGACCCAUUCAGUCUGCAGUCGUGGGGAACUGUCAGAGCUGGAAGCAGAAGGGAGAGGCCGUCCUUGAUUUGCCACCCUGACGUCUGCCCCCCAGCUGCAAGCAGAUCCACCAAGCUCCUUGUAGUACUCUGAGACCAGCCUGGGCUACGUGAGACCUGCCUCGAAGAAAAAAAAAAAGAUAGAAAAAGCCAUUCUGCUGGAGAAGCAAGCACUCAAAGCUCCCCGUUAGUCUGGGGAGGAAACACGAGCUGCUGUAGACAACGGUGCCUAGGAGUCAUGAACCUGGGCAGAGGGCAGAACCCUCGACGGCAGGUUCCUGAGAAAUGAGGCCCAGAAGCUGCUCACUAGUGCUGGAGGAUGCAAGGGGGGAUCUGAAGAGUUCAUCGUGUUUGCCGGCAAGCACUUUACCAGCUGAGCCGCAUCCCCAGCCCCACCCACUUGUGGACUUCUUCAAGUGAGCAUGUCGCUAUCCUUGGUCCUCCUAGUGAUGGGGAAGGCAGGACGGAUGGAGGCACGUUGUUGUUAGGAAGAGCCUGAGGAGGCUGCUGUGGAUCUUACUGUUUGCAUAGGAGAGGGAGGCCAUUUCCAGCUCAGGAAACAGCCUGACCACAGGCGUGGAAGAGAAUGUCUAACGGGCAGAGGGACUGGCAGGAAGUCCUGCGGCACAGGCGGAGGGGCACAGAGGACGUGGGAGUCAAUCUCACCUGUAAACACACAUUGCGCAAUCGAACGCGGCGUGAUGCCAGCUCAGAAACGUGAGCGAUUGUUGGUUUUGAAUCGGCUCUAGCUGCGUUAUGCGGUUUUUCUUUGUUCAUUUCUCACACGUUAUAGGGUGCUCUUGCCAGAGACUUGUCAAUACCCGUCUCUUCGAGGAUCCAGCUGUGGCUCCACUGAUUCGCUCUUGGUUUUAUCCUUGACAGAUCUGUUUCCUCUGUGAUUUCCCUCCUUCCUAUUUUGUUAUCAGCUACCAGUUAUCAGCCUUGGGUUUUCUGUUCUGUGGUGGGCACUGAAGGUUACGCCUCCCCGGAGCCUUGCUUUAGAAUGAAUGUCCUUCUAGGUUCAUCUCCUGAUGACCUCACUGUCUUAGUUCUGAGUAGUUUCUUGUUUCCCUUCCCUUUUCUUUCUUUCUUUUUUGUUUUUUGUGUUUUGUUUUGUUUUGAGACAAG